This 459-nucleotide ribosomal RNA is filed under the name uncultured bacterium. RNAcentral describes it as "partial 16S ribosomal RNA". It matches the Rfam family "Bacterial small subunit ribosomal RNA", at positions 338 to 795 of the family's 1533-position model. The record is from RNAcentral.
CCUACGGGUGGCAGCAGUGAGGAAUAUUGGUCAAUGGGCGCGAGCCUGAACCAGCCAAGUCGCGUGAGGGAAGACGGUCCUAUGGAUUGUAGACCUCUUUUGUCGGGGGACAAAAGACGCCACGCGUGGCGUUCCGAGAGUACCCGAAGAAAAAGCAUCGGCUAACUCCGUCCCAGCAGCCGCGGUAAUACGGAGGAUGCGAGCGUUAUCCGGAUUUAGUGGGUUUAAAGGGUGCGCAGGCGGAAGAUCAAGUCGGCGGUAAAAUUGGGGGGCGCAACCUCGUCGAGCCGUUGAAACUGGUUGUCUUGAGUGAGUGAGAAGUAUGCGGAAUGCGUGGUGUAGCGGUGAAAUGCAUAGAUAUCGCGCAGAACCCCGAUUGCGAAGGCAGCAUACCGGCGCUCAACUGACGCUCAUGCACGAAAGUGUGGGUAUCGAACAGGAUUAGAUACCCCGGUAGUC